RNA transcript from Eucalyptus grandis, 1618 nucleotides. It is a transcript of the gene named pre-mRNA-splicing factor CWC22 homolog, with no coding region annotated. Lineage: Eukaryota; Viridiplantae; Streptophyta; Magnoliopsida; Myrtales; Myrtaceae. The transcript has 7 exons. The record is from RefSeq and is a predicted model, not a curated record.
CUACCAUAUCGUCUGGCGAUAUUUACAACGGACUGCGGAUUUUCCGGGUUCGGUUCUCGUUACCGUUCCUCGUACUUCUCCGAAAAUACCUCGGACUCUGCUCUUCAAUCGAUUUCGUCCGUUAUCUCGGAAACCUCAAGCGACAUCGAUCGAUCUGAACCGAGAGAGAUCUCGCGGGCGUCUUUCCAGCGUUCGUCACUAGCGUUCGUCGUCUGAGUUUGGAGUUGGAGAGAAGAUGCUGCCGGAGCUACACUUCGAGUCUUCGUACCUGCCUAGGGUUCGGAGGAGGCCCAUGAAACAGCCGGUUAAGGUUCGGAUCAUGCUGCCGAUGAGCAUCCGGUGCAACACCUGCGGGAGUCACAUCUGCCAGGGCACAAAGUUCAAGUCCAGGAAGGAGGAAGUCGUCGGCGAGACGUACUUGGGGAACCAGAGAUUCAGGUUUUACUUCACAUGCACCAACUGCUCUGCCGUGCUCGCGAUCAAAACCCAGCCGCAGCAUCCGGAUUGCGAGGUGGAGUCCGGAGCGACGAGGGUGGUGGAGAAUGGGCAAAGGAAGAGGGAGGCUGAAGAGAUGGGCGAUGUCAUGAAGUCUAGGACGUAUGAUUUAAAUAGAGAGAUCGAUAGUCUCCCGCCUCUUGAUGAUAUGAAUUCCAUGAAGUAGAGAAAAUUUCUGAGGAAUUGUCGGACAAGCCAACAGAUUUCUUGACAAAAGCUAGUACCUGUGACAUCUCGAAUAACAGAGGCUGUGGUGAUCUUUCCAGCAGCAACACAUGGGGUUUGGAUCUCAUCGAGUAAGGGAAGACGAUGGGAGGAGAGAUGGACGGGAAAGAAGACGGAGGUAUGAUAGUGACCUGAAGCAGAACGAGAAAGAGGGAAAGGGAAGAGACGGCGAGAAACAGGGAAUGGAUGGCAGAAAGGCUGAUAGUUGGAGACCAGAACAAGCAUCAUCGCAGCAAGGCCAUAUGAAUAGUGACGAGGACGAGGAUGAACAGAUGAAAAUUAAAGAUGAGACAGAGACGAGUCUUGUUUAUCUCCGGAGAACGAUAUAUCUAACGAUUAUGUCCAGUGUCGAUUUCGAGGAAGCAGGGCAAAAACUAUUAAAAAGUAAACUGGAAGCUGGACAAGAGAUGGAAUUAUGUAUAAUGAUUUUGGAGUGCUGCAGUCAAGAGAGAACUUACCUCCGCUACUAUGGUCUGCUGCACAGCGGUUUUGCACGAUCAACAAAGUCUAUCAAGAGAACUUGGAGAAGUGCUUUGUUCAGCAAUACUCAAUGACUCACCGUCUGGAAACAAACAAGCUAAGAAAUGUGGCAAAUUUUUGUACGCACUUACUUGGCACCGAUGCUCUAUCCUGGCACGUCUUGGCGUACAUACGUUUGACUGAGGAGGACACCACUUCAUCAUCACGAAUAUUCAUCAAAAUUCUCUUUCAGGAACUGUCAGAGCAUCUGGGGAUUCGUUUGCUGAAUGAACGCCUGAAUGAUCCAUUGAUGCGGGACUCUUUUGAAUCAAUUUUCCCUAAAGACAAUCCAAAGAACACAAGGUUCUCCAUCAACUUCUUCACAUCCAUUGGACUUGGUGGCAUAACUGAGAACUUGCGUGAGUAUUUGAAGAACAUG